GGGCCUGUAGCUCAGUGGUUAGAGCAGUGGACUCAUAAUCCAUUGGUCGUAGGUUCGAAUCCUACCGGGCCCACCA
This 76-nucleotide transfer RNA is filed under the name Halorhodospira halochloris. RNAcentral describes it as "tRNA-Met". It matches the Rfam family "tRNA". From Rfam's summary of the family: Transfer RNA (tRNA) molecules are approximately 80 nucleotides in length. Their secondary structure includes four short double-helical elements and three loops (D, anti-codon, and T loops). The record is from RNAcentral. Lineage: Bacteria; Pseudomonadati; Pseudomonadota; Gammaproteobacteria; Chromatiales; Ectothiorhodospiraceae.